RNAcentral lists this ribosomal RNA (379 nucleotides) under uncultured organism. Its description in RNAcentral is "partial 16S ribosomal RNA". It matches the Rfam family "Bacterial small subunit ribosomal RNA", at positions 527 to 897 of the family's 1533-position model. The record is from RNAcentral.
GUAGGUGGCAAGCGUUGUCCGGGAAUUAUUGGGGCGUAAAAGCGCGCGCAGGCGGUUCUUUAAGUCUGAUGUGAAAAGCCCACGGGCUCAACCGUGGGAGGGUCAUUGGAAACUGGAGAACUUGAGUGCAGAAGAGGAAAGCGGAAUUCCACGUGUAGCGGUGAAAUGCGUAGAGAUGUGGAGGAACACCAGUGGCGAAGGCGGCUUUCUGGUCUGUAACUGACGCUGAGGCGCGAAAGCGUGGGGAGCAAACAGGAUUAGAUACCCUGGUAGUCCACGCCGUAAACGAUGAGCGCUAAGUGUUAGGGGUUUCCACCCCUUAGUGCUGCAGCUAACGCAUUAAGCACUCCGCCGUGGGGAGUACGGCCGCAAAGGCUGA